GACGAACGCUGGCGGCGUGCUUAACACAUGCAAGUCGAACGCUGAAGCUUGGUGCUUGCACUGGGUGGAUGAGUGGCGAACGGGUGAGUAAUACGUGAGUAACCUGCCCUUGACUCUGGGAUAAGCCUGGGAAACUGGGUCCAAUACUGGAUACGACAUGUCACCGCAUGGUGGUGUGUGGAAAGGGUUUUACUGGUUUUGGAUGGGCUCACGGCCUAUCAGCUUGUUGGUGGGGUAAUGGCUCACCAAGGCGACGACGGGUAGCCGGCCUGAGAGGGUGACCGGCCACACUGGGACUGGGACACGGCCCAGACUCCUACGGGAGGCAGCAGUGGGGAAUAUUGCACAAUGGGCGGAAGCCUGAUGCAGCGACGCCGCGUGAGGGAUGACGGCCUUCGGGUUGUAAACCUCUUUCAGCACGGAAGAAGCGAAAGUGACGGUACGUGCAGAAGAAGCGCCGGCUAACUACGUG
Molecule: ribosomal RNA, 472 nt
Filed under: uncultured bacterium
Lineage: Bacteria
Description: partial 16S ribosomal RNA
Rfam family: Bacterial small subunit ribosomal RNA
Source: RNAcentral